UAUAUUGAAAACAAAAUAGUUUACGAAGAAAUACGAUACAUAGAAUAAUUGAAACCAUCGAGUAUGAGAAUACUCGAACCUCGGGAAAAGGUCAAGGUUGGGGACUGUUUCAACACUUCUACAGGCCGAAUACUUGAUUAUUCAACAUUCUACUCGCAUUCUGUCCCUUAAUUCCCCUCGCAUCUCGAAACACAUAUACUAUACAUAUGUAUAGUAUAUGUAUAUGAAUCUUGAAUAUUUUUUUCAUUUUUCUCUUCAAUCAAUGAAUUUAUAUUGAAAACCAUAAAAUUGUACAAGUCCAUAGUCCAUGUUUACACAUAUAUGUAUAUGCAUAGUACAGGUAAUGUAUAUCCUUUGUUUCUUAUUUGAUUUUCAAAUAAACUAUUAUUGUAUACUGGGUUUCAUUAAUCUGUCAGACUUGACAGAUUUCUUCGAAUCACGCGCUCCACACAAAACGGAAACGUACAUACAUCAGGAUUGCCAAUUGUACUUGACAGUAAUUGAAGUUAUUUCAAACAUUUUUGGCCGAUUAAAUGGAACAAAUAUACUAUAGGUGUUAUGUGUGCGUGCGUAUACAGAAAGCUGUAAAACUUGUAGAAAAUGCCUGGCAAUGAGAGAAAUUCCAAGGGUAAAGACGGUUGAGAAAGCGAGGAAGGUAGCAAGAAUUCCAACGUUCCGAGACAUAUCGAACACCUGUAUGCAUAUUUAACUGUGUAUCGAAAUAGAGAUUCAGUCACUCGUGUUUAGCGUUUCUUGUCCGAUGGAUAAUUCUUUGCGACGUAACAAUGUUUACGUUAUUCUUAACUUACUAAGGAGGGAAUAGCUUGACAAAAUUAUAAUAAAACGCUGAUACGAAGAGGGAAUAUGCGCGAGCGCGUAUUGGGAUAAGGAUCGUAUCUGUUGUGUGUCGUUGAUAAUGUGGAAAGUGAAGGUACCGCUCUGGCAAUGACGUUGUGGUAAAUCGUUCAGGUGCAACAUUUCCAUCGGCCGUGUACCAUGCACACAUGCAAGGCCGACUCUAAGUACUUUGGCGCCCAGGGAAACGAUACAAGCCUCCUUUACUCGCUUCUUUCGUGGUAUAUGUAUGACACAUAUGUAUACUGUACAAUACAUUCAGGAUAUUACCAAAACUACGAGACCUCUUAACAAAAUCAAUUCUUUACGAUAAUACGAAAGAAAAAAUCCUUUUCCAUUUUACUAUCAGAAACUUCAUUCUCGAGAUAUAACUGUGUAUGUAAGUUGUUUAAGUUAUCAGGUACAUAGAUAUACAUGUAUACAUAUACAUAUAGUAUAUGAACACGUGGACACGUGUUUCCGAUACGCGAGUACGCAUACGCACAGUCAGCUGACUGAAAUAUGAAUGGUGAGCGGCAACAGUUACGUUAACAACAUUUUACAUUAACGUUACAUUUACAAGUAACAAAGCUUCGGAUCUUAAAGUGGCAAAAAACUUGUUCCAUUCCCUGUUACACCAAGAAUUGAUCCUAAUGUUUUCUAAGAAAAUGUUAACACGUAAAACUCAAACAAGACUUAAAACAAAAGAUAGCAACGUUAAUAUCAGUAUAUCAGUUGAUUCCUUUUUAGAGCCUAGGGGCGCAUAACGUGCCUUGCCUGUUCCUGUUUUGUCACGGCCCUGUACCCAUGUACCCAUACCUCUACCGUGAAUUCAGAUCCUCUGUGAACGUGGCGCACGGCACACCAUAUACGUAUACGACAAAACUUAUGUAAACACACCAGUGAAACCGCUAUAGAACCUAAUUUAACAUCGCUUUAGCGCACCAGUCGUUGCUUCCUCCAUCUACUCACUUUUAUCUGUGUCAGACUUUAUUUACGACCGACCUGUCUACCUCUGUAUUUACAUACUUUGCAAAUGGACUCGUUCGAUUAUACUCAAAGUAUCGAUUGUAAAAAUUGAGUAAUAGUAACUAAGAAAUUUGCGACUUAAGAUGUACGAGAGAAUGUCCACAGAAGGUCGUUCCUUCGUUGUACCCAUCAACGUUUCUAGCGAUUCAGUUAUGCGACACUGAUUAGUUGAUUACCAUGAUAAUUCUUCGACAGGGGAUUACCGAUUGUUCGAUAAACAGAUUAAAAUUCAGGUUAAAGGCAAAGAAUUUGAUCUUUAACUUGAACUUUCGUUAAUGAACACUUUCACUGAUGCUUCGUCGUCGAGGAUACAUUAAUCAGUUCCUCUAUAGAUAUUGUAUAGCGAGUCUCGUUAUACGUACAAUACGAUAUAAAAAUUUGAUAUUUAAAACUCUUGUCGGGAUCUUUAAUAUUUACGCUCCUCUUUUGAUUUCUUCUAGAUUUGCUACUGGUUCGUCGGUAUAAGCGUUAAAAUGAAACCGCUACGCGGUGCUUUUAUUCGUCACUCGGAUAAAAUGUUGCUCAUCUUUGGCUGACUGUUCCUUUCGAAUGAAGCGUCGCGACGCUACGCUUCGAUUUUCUCUUUUUUGAUCACCGUCGCGCGAUGAAAGAUUCCGAUAAGAGGUUAUUCCAUGUGAAAGAAACAAAAGUUUAUUUUUAUUUUACCUAGCGUUCAAUCCAACAGCUUUCGAUCCGCUGUUCGUUAAAUAAAACGUACAAUCUGUAUCUGAAUUAUACAAUAAAAAUUCAUUCGAUCGAACAAGCACCGCGAAUAAAGAGUCUCCGAUACAAGUACGAAGUCGU
Molecule: long non-coding RNA, 2667 nt
Organism: Hylaeus volcanicus
Lineage: Eukaryota; Metazoa; Arthropoda; Insecta; Hymenoptera; Colletidae
Exons: 3
Source: RefSeq, a predicted model, not a curated record